AUGAGAAGGAGCAAGGAGCGGCACUUGUACUUGACAGUCACUGCUAGGACAACCAGGCACCCGGAAGGACCGAUGCCGAUGCGUGCAAUGCACCCAGCCGGCCGGUCAUCCAUGUACAUACAGUAUACUACUGAUGAUGUGAUCCCGGGGCCGAAGGGGGUGGAGCCGCACGGAGUUGGGUUGGAACAGUUGAUGAGUCCACGGGACGCCACCGUCGUCGCCCCCGCCGCGCAGAUUCCCCGCAUUUUGCUGGUCCGAGCGGCGGUAGACAAAAAAAUGAGACCAAUCCGCGAACACCAUGCGUCCAAGUUAGGAUUUAAACUCGGGUGGGCCGGUAGCAACCUCAGCUGUCCAGCCAACGAAUCGACGCCCCAUCCUCCCGAGCGGCGGGAGACUGUGUCCACGCACGAGCACGGAGGAGGGAGGGGGAAACAGGGAGCCGCGUUUAAGUGUCGGAAUCCUCAGACCCUGCGUGGCAUCACCCGAGCACCGACAAAAGCAAAUCUCCGGCAACAAGAUUGGGCUGGGCUGACGCAGCAAUGGGGUUGCCCAUGUCCGUUUGGGGUCGUCGCCGUGUCAGUGCGCCCAACGCGCGAGCGCACCCCAUAUUAUGUCUGGGGUGACAUAUCCGCCUGGCAUUUUGUCAAACACGUAGGAGGCAGGGAAGCUCGCAGCGGCUGGGCGCGGAGAGGCGAGGCCGACGUCUGCGGGAGCACCGGCCGGAUGCGGGCGCAGGCGCGAGACGAGACCGGCGGCCGAGCUCAAACUCCACGCCGGCGAGACGCAGCAGGGCGAGCGCGGCGUGGCACGGCUAGCGCGGCGAGCACGGCGAUGCGUCACGGCUGGGCGCGGCGACUCGAGGUGGCUGGAUGCACGGCGCACACCUCGGCCUCGCCCUGCGCUCGCCCCGGCUUCGCCGAGCGCCUCGUCGGGCUCGCGUCCGCUCCCCUCCCGCUCACGUGGCCGACGUCGCGCCCCGCCCUCUCGCCCGGCCACAGCGCCAGCCUGCGCGCGCACGCCCCGGCCUCCCCGCCGUGGCCGACAGAGGACACCAGGACCGAAGCACUUGGAUUAGGAAUCAGAUCCUGGACUCUCAGUCUGGCCCUGGAAUGCUGCGGCCUCUACACGUGGGCCCGUGCACAGUCGGACAAAAUGGGGUCUUGCGGUGGAGUUGGCCUGAAAAUGGGCAGUAUCUGCAUGCACAGGCAUGUAAAACAAACGAACUCCGCAUGCCUCUUGUCUGGCGAGCACUUUCUUAUCGUGCUCCUGCACCAGAUUACCACGCGACGUGGUGACGCCUCGUUUGCUCGACCUCAGAACCAGACCAGUCGUCAAGUCACUGGUCGCCCUACAGGAGAAAGAGGUUCAGAUUCUGGCAUACAUGCUCGGCGUUGCAUGUCCUGUUUUACUUGCCAUGAUCACGUGCAGGAGUUCCUAAUCAACAGUGUCGUACAUCAUUCAUCGCGCUCGCGACCCGACGACUUCAACUUCGCUGCAACAUGGAAGGGCACCGACAUGAAGCAUGCAUGUCUGCCACAAGUGUGCUCCUCGACCUCAUCGACAUUGGAGAGAGAAGGCAUAUCCGAAGCAGGGCAGACCUGUGCCGCUCCAAUCCCGAGAGGACAAACAAGACUUGUCCGCCGCUCCAAGCAUGUCGCUCCUGUCGCCCACCCGCCGCACAACGGCCAACAGCCAUACUCGAAUGAAGCGCCAUCGCAGACUUACACACCACCGGAGCCAAGAGGUCACGAGUUCGAAGCUCCAGUACGCGUCCGAUCGCCGGCGACCGGCAUCACGCUGGGCAGGGGAGCACGCCGCCACGCCGGCCCGCACGGUCUUCACGGCCUUAGUCUUUUUCCCCGCGCCCGGAGUCGUGUCUGUCUCCAGUUGCUGCUGCUGCGCGCAGAAAUUGGGCGCUGCGUUGCUCGAUCGUUCGGUGCCGCGGCACGCGCGCUGUUGGUCGAUGGCUCACGGGAAGAGCUUCUCGACGGCAACCCCCUGCAGCAGCGGCCGCGAGUCGCCGCGGCGGCGGCAGGAGGAGGAGCGGCGUGGCUCCUCGGAGCCCGACGAGGAAGAGACGCGGCGGAGGACGUCGCGGAGGCGGCCCUCGUCGCAGGGGAGCGCGACUGGGCCGGAGGCGCCGGACGGGAAGCCGUACUCCUCCUCCGCCUGCCGGAGCAGCUCCAGGAACGCCGGGUGGCUCAGGUGCCCCAGCCGCACCAUGAACCGCGCGCCCUCCGCGCAGACCGCGACGUGCCCCGCCGGCACCGGGGCGGAGGUGGACCGGCGGUUCCGCCACCGGCGCACGGCGCGGCGCAGCCAGGCGAAGGACGGGAUCGUGAUGACGUUGCACAUGCUGCCUUGUCUUGCUUUGCGCCGACGAGCUAUCGAACGCGUUCGCUUGCUGCUGCUGCUGCUGCUAGCUCUCUGCCUCUCUGGUUGGGACACGGAAGAGGAUGGCACCGCGAUCAGUGGGUGCUAAUCUUUUGUGUUGCUGCGCGCGACACGACACCGGGAGGAGAUCGGCAUCCAGUGCCAAGCUGGGGCAGUCCGCGCAGCCCAACCCAGCGGACCGCAGCUUGCACGCAUCGUCUCCUGCCCCCGAUCAGGCAGGACAUGAGCGACCUCUUCGCGCGUCCAGAACAAAAUACGCCCUCUAAUCCAAGUGAUUAA
RNAcentral lists this ribosomal RNA (2673 nucleotides) under Triticum aestivum (bread wheat). RNAcentral's name for it is "partial small subunit ribosomal RNA". The record is from RNAcentral. Lineage: Eukaryota; Viridiplantae; Streptophyta; Magnoliopsida; Poales; Poaceae.